RNAcentral lists this ribosomal RNA (254 nucleotides) under uncultured bacterium. Its description in RNAcentral is "partial 16S ribosomal RNA". It matches the Rfam family "Bacterial small subunit ribosomal RNA", at positions 524 to 776 of the family's 1533-position model. The record is from RNAcentral.
CACGUAGGGGGCGAGCGUUGUCCGGAUUUAUUGGGCGUAAAGAGCUCGUAGGCGGUUCGGCAAGUCGGGUGUGAAAUUUCGAGGCUCAACCUCGAAACGCCACUCGAUACUGCUGUGACUGGAGUCCGGUAGAGGAGUGCGGAAUUCCAGGUGUAGCGGUGAAAUGCGCAGAUAUCAGGAGGAACACCAACGGCGAAGGCAGCACUCUGGGCCGGUACUGACGCUGAGGAGCGAAAGCGUGGGGAGCAAACAGG